CCUACGGGCGGCAGCAGUAGGGAAUAUUGCUCAAUGGGGGAAACCCUGAAGCAGCAACGCCGCGUGGAGGAUGAAGGUUUUCGGAUUGUAAACUCCUUUUGUUAGAGAAGAUAAUGACGGUAUCUAACGAAUAAGCACCGACUAACUACGGGCCAGCAGCCGCGGUAAUACGGAGGGUGCAAGCGUUACUCGGAAUCACUGGGCGUAAAGCGCGCGUAGGCGGGAUAGCAAGUCAGAUGUGAAAUCCUAUGGCUUAACCAUAGAACUGCAUUUGAAACUGUUAUUCUAGAGUAUGGGAGAGGUAGGUGGAAUUCUUGGUGUAGGGGUAAAAUCCGUAGAGAUCAAGAGGAAUACUCAUUGCGAAGGCGACCUGCUAGAACAUAACUGACGCUGAUGCGCGAAAGCGUGGGGAGCAAACAGGAUUAGAUACCCGUGUAGUC
Molecule: ribosomal RNA, 440 nt
Filed under: uncultured bacterium
Lineage: Bacteria
Description: partial 16S ribosomal RNA
Rfam family: Bacterial small subunit ribosomal RNA
Source: RNAcentral